GCCUGCUUGGCGUAGGGGUAACGGGUUGCACUUGUAAUGCAAAGAUUCCCAGGUUUGAAUCCUGGAGUAGGCA
Cladorrhinum sp. PSN259 is the source of this 73-nucleotide non-coding RNA. The record is from the annotation of a GenBank genome assembly. NCBI's taxonomy places the organism in Eukaryota, Fungi, Ascomycota, Sordariomycetes, Sordariales, Podosporaceae.